Molecule: ribosomal RNA, 253 nt
Filed under: uncultured bacterium
Lineage: Bacteria
Description: partial 16S ribosomal RNA
Rfam family: Bacterial small subunit ribosomal RNA
Source: RNAcentral
UACGAAGGGGGCUAGCGUUGCUCGGAAUUACUGGGCGUAAAGGGAGCGUAGGCGGAUAGUUUAGUCAGAGGUGAAAGCCCAGGGCUCAACCUUGGAAUUGCCUUUGAUACUGGCUAUCUUGAGUACGGAAGAGGUAUGUGGAACUCCGAGUGUAGAGGUGAAAUUCGUAGAUAUUCGGAAGAACACCAGUGGCGAAGGCGACAUACUGGUCCGUUACUGACGCUGAGGCUCGAAAGCGUGGGGAGCAAACGGG